RNAcentral lists this unclassified non-coding RNA (308 nucleotides) under uncultured bacterium. RNAcentral describes it as "contains 16S-23S intergenic spacer region". The record is from RNAcentral.
GCCUAGAAGAUGCUGACCUUGAUGUUCAGAUACCUUCUAGGGUCCUUCUUGAUUUCUGUCAGCAGCGACUGGAAUUCAGCAACGGCCUUGUUCAUGUUCUCAUAUAACCGCUUAUCUUUCAGCAACUGUCCCGCCGUGCCCUCCCCCUCAUUCAACUUUGUCACGAUUUGGUCGAACCGGUCGGUGACCGAAUUCAUAUGAUUGAAAAGCGACGGGUCAUUCAUCAGCUUGCCCGCCGUGCCCUCACCGCGAUUGAGCCGGGCGGUCAGCUCCUGCAGAUUCGCCGUGGCCGCGUUGAGAGAAUUCGA